GAUUAAGAACGUAGCGAAAUGCGAUAAGUAAUGUGAAUUGCAGAAUUCAGUGAAUCAUCGAAUCUUUGAACGCACCUUGCGCCCCUUGGUUAUUCCAAAGGGCAUGCCUGUUUGAGUAUCAUGAACACCUCAACUCUUGUGGUUUCCCACAAUGAGCUUGGACUGUGGAGGUUUUGUUGGCCCUGUGGUCAGCUCCUCUCAAAUGGAUCAGCUUACCGGUGUUUGGUGGCAUUACGGGUGUGAUAACUAUCUACGCUCGUGGUCGUCUCCAAAUAACCUCCAGUGAUGGAGGUUCGCUGGAGCUUAUAAAUGUCUCUCCCCAGUGAAGACAGCCUUUGAACGUUCGAUCUCAAAUCAGGUAGGACUACCCGCUGAACUUAAGCAUAUCAAUAAGCGGAGGA
This 401-nucleotide unclassified non-coding RNA is filed under the name soil metagenome. RNAcentral describes it as "partial contains 5.8S ribosomal RNA, internal transcribed spacer 2, and large subunit ribosomal RNA". The stretch from base 1 to 121 matches the Rfam family "5.8S ribosomal RNA", at positions 35 to 154 of the family's 154-position model. The record is from RNAcentral.